Molecule: unclassified non-coding RNA, 345 nt
Filed under: soil metagenome
Description: partial contains 5.8S ribosomal RNA, internal transcribed spacer 2, and large subunit ribosomal RNA
Rfam family: 5.8S ribosomal RNA (bases 1-119)
Source: RNAcentral
GAUGAAGAACGUAGCGAAAUGCGAUACGUAAUGUGAAUUGCAAAUUCAGUGAAUCAUCGAGUCUUUGAACGCACAUUGCGCCCCCUGGUAUUCCGGGGGGCAUGCCUGUCCGAGCGUCAUUGCUGCCCUCAAGCACGGCUUGUGUGUUGGCCCCCGUCCUCCGAUCCCGGGGGACGGGCCCGAAAGGCAGCGGCGGCACCGCGUCCGGUCCUCGAGCGUAUGGGGCUUUGUCACCCGCUCUGUAGGCCCGGCCGGCGCUUGCCGAUCAACCCAAAUUUUUAUCCAGGUUGACCUCGGAUCAGGUAGGGAUACCCGCUGAACUUAAGCAUAUCAAUAAGCGGAGGA